GUGUGAUUUCUACAUUUUUCGGGGGUGAGCUGCAGUUUAAGCCUCUGUAAAAUUUACAUUAAAGUUUUAAUGUAAAAAUUGGCAUGUGUGGUAUGUACAGAAACCUCAGAAUCUCAGCUAAAAGCUCAUACAAACCAUUUCUACCACCAAAGACAGGAAAAAGCAACAAUUAAAAGAGCAGUUACAUUCUGAAACCGCAAGUUUCGUCACGCUCCGACCACCAUUCACCGAACCAGCCGCAAAACAAGACCACCAAUAUACAACAACUUGGAAUCAGAUUUACCGUGCCGCUUUUCUAUUUUUCUCGCCAUUAGCUGUUGUAGCUCGUAUCACAGCUGGCUUAAUGAUGCAUUCACAGCAUGUGGGAGAAAAGAAAAUCAGAUUGAGUUACAUGCAGACAGCUUAAUAUUUCCAUGGCAAC
Long non-coding RNA from Oreochromis niloticus (Nile tilapia), 421 nucleotides. RefSeq lists it as uncharacterized. The transcript has 2 exons. NCBI's taxonomy places the organism in Eukaryota, Metazoa, Chordata, Actinopteri, Cichliformes, Cichlidae. The record is from RefSeq and is a predicted model, not a curated record.